ACCAAUUUGACAACAAAUUAGAUUAAAAAAUCAAAAAUAAAAAUUGUUUAUAGUUUGCCUGAGCAGUAAUUUUCUAAUUAUACUCAGUUAGCUAUAAAAGAAUUCUGUAGUCUCCCAAAGCACCUAAUUUAUAAUCAAGAAGUCAUCCCAAUGAGACAAGGUGAGCCUGUUUGCAAGUGUAUCUCAAGCAUCCAUAUUUGGCUCAUAAGCUUCUAACCACAUGUUUCCUUUAAAAGGUGAAGAUAUGCAACCCAAUAUAUGAGAAGCCUGGAUGUCUGAAGCCUUCAGAAUGGCAACAGCAAAAGACUGCUUAAUUAAGAAAUGGCAGAGUUGUCUAAACCCAGCAAGAGGGCAACGAUUCAGCAUUCACCCCAUCACUGAUCUGCUUUUUAAUCUUCUCCAGCUCAUCAACUUCUUUCUUUUCUUAAUAACGACUUUAUUGGGUUGUGUUUCUCUUGAGGUUUGAGAAUGGAGAAAGAGAUAUCUAUGAAAAUUUCAGGACUGUGUCAUUGAUGCUGUCUUUCUCCAGUGACUUACUUCAACACGCAUGACUACUGGGCCAACAUUGUCAGUGAAAGAAUGCUCCUCUGUUACACCUUUGACUGCAGCUGGCAUCAUAAGAUAGAAGUCCAGUGGAACACCUCACUCAGUAACGGGCAGCUUUGUUUCCAGUAGGCCUUGCAGACUGCAGUUUGACAGCUGCAGGAGGAGAUGAAAUCCAGAAACUGACAGUGCUCCACACCUCCACAGAAGUGCAGAUUUCACUGUAGUCUGGAAUACCCUUGAAGGUGAUGGAGUGGUGAGAACCUCAUCUUCUCCUUUCUAAGCUUAGACUUUUUUGAUUAUGGAUAUUUGAGAAUUAAUCUUUGCUUUCAUCGUGUGUGCAAAUGUGUUUAUAUGAUCAGUUGACCACUGAAGACUGGGGGAAAAAAAUAAAGAAAUAGCUAUGAUUCACAGUAGGUGGGAGACCAGGAAAAUGGCUGAACUCGGUGGGGCUAUGUCCAGUCUAAGUUGUGCUGGGGAAGCUUAGAGCACCAAAGUCAAGGGGCUCCUGGGUGGCUCAGUUGGUUGAGCGUCUGACUCUUGAUUUUAGCUCAGGUCAUGAUCCCAGGGUAGUGGGAUUGGGCCUAGCAUUGGGGUAUGCACUGAGUGUGGAGCCUGUUUAAGAUUCUCUCUCCCCCUCUCUCUCUCUCUCCUCUCUAUCCCUCUGCCCCUUUCCCCUGCCUGUGCUCCCUCUCUCUAAAAUAAAAAUUAAAAAAAAAAAAGAACACCAAAGUCAACCUGAACUGUUCUUUAAGAGUCUCCAGGGCAGUACUCCAGGUCGAAUAACUCACAAUUGAGACAAUGAACCCUAGGGGGAAGGGGACAGACGAAGGCUGGGAUAACUCUAACAAACAAUAGGCAAGGGAGGAGAUUUCCCAAAGAUGGAUCAAGAUUUUCAUAUCUGACGGUCAGUUAACAUUACUCUGAAAAGAAAGCAAGCCAGAAUGAAGAGAACAAGACUUGCAACACGGGGGGACACCUGCAAACAUAUUCUCUGUGAAGGGUUUUACUUCCUAGGUACCUUUCCCUCAUGGGAAAUACAACAGUUAGCUAGCUCAUAGUUUUCAAUUCUUUCCCUCACAUUUAAUUUGCUUUAGUUUUUUCCUAAACCUUCAAAGUUGUCUGAUGUGUUCAUAUAACUGUGUGGAGGUCUUCUCAAAGGAAAUAAGGAAUCCAUUCAUAAGAGGAAACGAGUCUUUUCUCCUCCCAACGAUUUCCUCUGCAGAGGCUCUUCAGAGGUGUCUGCAUCACCUUUGCCACAAGGAAGCCUGAAAUACACGUUUCUGUGCCACAACCAACUGCAAAGUAGUGUGACUUGAAUUGGUGUGGUCCAGGGCUGGGAGGAGCCCUGAAGUUUGAAGUGUCCUUUGCUUCACAGAAAAUCCACCUGUUACAGUAAAUCCACUUCUGUCAAAAUUCCUGAACAGCUACUCCUCCCUCCUGAGUUUUAGUUUUCUGUCUCAGGAAGCAAGUCCCCACCUGGAUGGGCUGUAAUGUCAUCCUGAGCUGGGACUUUAUUUUAUCAAGUAUAAUAUGCAUAUAUAAAGGUUCACAUUUCAACAUUGUACAUUUUGAUAAAUUUUUACAAACUUAAUACGUCUAUAACCAACACCCCAGAAGGCCCUCCCUCUUUCCAGACACUACACCAUCCCUUCACCAAGGAAUCACUAUCCUGAUUUCUAGCUAGUAGACCAGUUCUGCCUAUAGAAGUGCUUUAUAUAUAAGAACUCAUAUACUAUAUAUAUUGUGUGUCUGGUUUCUUUCUUUCCAUAUUACAUUUCUGGGAUUUGCAGAUGGUUUAUUCUCAAAGGUGUGUGGGUGUAUAGUAUUGCUCUGUGUGUGAUUACUACAACUUAUUCUUCCAUCUAACUUUUUUUGUAAAGAGCAGCGGGAGGGACAGAGAGAGGGAGAGGAGAGAGAAUCCCAAGCAGGCCCCGCACUGUCAGUGCAGAACCUGAGCCCGAUGUAGGGCAGAUACUCAACGGAAUGAACCACCUAGCUGGCCCCUUCCUCUAACUUUUGAUGAGCAUUUGGUAGUUUUGUAUUUUAGGCUAUUAAAAAUUACUACCAUGAACAUUCUAGUAUGUAUCUUUUGUAAGCAUGCAUCUAUUUAUAUAUAUAGGAAUGGAAAUUCUGGGUCAUAAAGUAUUCGUGUAUUAAACUUAAUGAAUACUUCCAGAUCCAAAGUGCUUAUGCUAAUUUACGUUUCCAUGAACUGUGUGCAUGGGAGUUACAGUCAGUCCACAGCCAGAUCAAAACUUGAUGGUGUCUGCUUUUUACAUUUUAUCAAUUCUAGUAGGUGUAUAUACCAUCUCAUUGUGGUUUUAUGUGCAUUUCACUUAUGGCUACUGAAAUAAAUUACUUCUUUAAAAUGUU
Long non-coding RNA from Neofelis nebulosa (Clouded leopard), 2919 nucleotides. RefSeq lists it as uncharacterized. The record is from RefSeq and is a predicted model, not a curated record. NCBI's taxonomy places the organism in Eukaryota, Metazoa, Chordata, Mammalia, Carnivora, Felidae. The transcript is spliced from 2 exons.